Molecule: transfer RNA, 72 nt
Filed under: Dipodomys ordii (Ord's kangaroo rat)
Lineage: Eukaryota; Metazoa; Chordata; Mammalia; Rodentia; Heteromyidae
Rfam family: tRNA
About the family: Transfer RNA (tRNA) molecules are approximately 80 nucleotides in length. Their secondary structure includes four short double-helical elements and three loops (D, anti-codon, and T loops).
Source: Rfam by way of RNAcentral
GAGAAGGUGGCUCAGUGGUAGAGUGCUUGCCUUGCAUGCAUGAGGCCUUGGGUUCGAUUCCUCAGCAUCACA